Molecule: ribosomal RNA, 253 nt
Filed under: uncultured bacterium
Lineage: Bacteria
Description: partial 16S ribosomal RNA
Rfam family: Bacterial small subunit ribosomal RNA
Source: RNAcentral
GACAGAGGUGCCGAGCGUUAGGCGGAAUCACUGGGCUUAAAGCGUGUGUAGGCGGAUCUGUAAGUACCUUGUGAAAUCCCACGGCUCAACCGUGGAACUGCUUGGUAUACUGCGGGUCUUGAGCCACCUAGGGGCAAGUGGAACAAACGGUGGAGCGGUGAAAUGCGUAGAUAUCGUUUGGAACGCCAACGGUGAAAACAACUUGCUGGGGGUGUGCUGACGCUGAGACACGAAAGCCAGGGGAGCAAACGGG